Molecule: ribosomal RNA, 407 nt
Filed under: uncultured bacterium
Lineage: Bacteria
Description: partial 16S ribosomal RNA
Rfam family: Bacterial small subunit ribosomal RNA
Source: RNAcentral
GACGAACGCUGGCGGCGUGCCUAAUACAUGCAAGUAGAACGCAGUUGCGAACGGGUGAGUAAUGUGUAGGUAAUUGCCUCAUAGCGGGGGAUACCUAUUGGAAACGUUAGCUAAUACCGCAUACUGAGAGAUGGAACUGCGUUGUAUUAGCUAGUUGGUGAGGUAAAGGCUCACCAAGGCGACGUUACACAGCCGACCUGAGUGGGGGAGCGACAACACGGGGACUGGGGAACGGGCCCAACUCCCAAGGGAGGCAGCAGUAGGGAAACAUCGGCAAUGGAGGGAAGUCUGACCGAGCAAAGCCGCGGGAGUUAAGGAGGUUUUCGGAUCGUAAAGCGCUGUUGUUAGGGAAGCGGUAACUAACCAGAAAGGGACGGCUAACUACGUGCCAGCAGCCGCGGUAAUUC